UACGGGGGGAGCAAGCGUUGUUCGGAUUUACUGGGCGUAAAGGGCGCGUAGGCGGCCACUGCAAGUCAGUUGUGAAAUCUCCGGGCUUAACCCGGAAAGGUCAACUGAUACUGCAGGGCUAGAGUGCAGAAGGGGCAACUGGAAUUCUCGGUGUAGCGGUGAAAUGCGUAGAUAUCGUCUGGAACGCCAAAGGUGAAAACAGACUGCUGGGAGUGUGCUGACGCUGAGACACGAAAGCCAGGGGAGCAAACGGG
Molecule: ribosomal RNA, 254 nt
Filed under: uncultured bacterium
Lineage: Bacteria
Description: partial 16S ribosomal RNA
Rfam family: Bacterial small subunit ribosomal RNA
Source: RNAcentral